AGGCCCGGAGUGUGGCGUUGAACGGCUAGUUGCAGGAAGCUGGCCGCUGGCGCAACGGCUAGUUGCAUUCAUGCUCCACCCCGUCCUUUUAAACACCUCGCUCAAAUCAUAUUCGCACUCCUCCUUCAACUCCUCAGUUCGCCCACCCAGCUCAACACCAUAUGUUCAUGCAAGUCACAGCUUAGCACCACGCCUUCUGUGUCGCACUACACCGCCAACCAGGUGCUCCCUCUCCCUCUCAUCUGUUACCCGGAGUGCAACGCCGGCUUCGUGAUGUGGUUUGUCUCACGGACGGUAGAAAACCCAGAGAGGCAUUUCUACAAGUGCGAAAGGCACGGAUUCGGCGGGUGCAGUUUUUGCAAGUGUGAGAACAAGUAAUACAGUACUUCAGCGCUAGUUGGGGACACCUGAUUUCCCAUGCAUCCGUCUAUCAUCAUGUAUCACUGCUUGAAUAUAAUCAAGCAUGGCUGAAGAACAUUUUGGUCCUCGGCGUCGUCGACCUGGUGCUCAUGGCCAUUAUUUGCAUGCUGAAGCUCUGAAUCUCAGCCCCAUCCCCAUAUGUAUCCAGCGUGAUGGAAUCGAUGUAGUUCACAUAUGUAUCCCGGGCGAUGUAUCUGCUUUAGCACCGUAUGGUUUUACCUAUCUGGUUUUCA
Triticum aestivum (bread wheat) is the source of this 653-nucleotide long non-coding RNA. RefSeq lists it as uncharacterized. Lineage: Eukaryota; Viridiplantae; Streptophyta; Magnoliopsida; Poales; Poaceae. The record is from RefSeq and is a predicted model, not a curated record. The transcript has 2 exons.